CAGUUCCGAAAAUCUUUUAUAAAAUUCGUCCAACCUAGCGGUUUCUACGAAUGAAACGUGUAGAAACCGUUCCGCUAUUCCCUCUUCUUUUCUGAAGACUUGCACAGACGGUUUUCAGGAACUGAUCAUCUGAAAAUUCUCAUUCUCAAACUUUAUAUUCUGCUAUUUUCUCCUUUCGUUUCACAACCAUUCAAAAAAACUCUAAAAACCUUCUCUGUUAAAGUUCUUCAAGUAUUCAAGUUUUAGUUGCUGCCAAGAAAUCAAGAAUUCUUGUGCGGCGCAAUUAGGAUCUCUAUCCCCGAGUUAAGCAUUAGUCAAGUUUACUACCAAGGAUUUGAGGCGAGGAGCAGGGAGAUGCGUGAUGGAUGUGUGUGGUGCUUAGGAUAUUUUAAUCAUGCUUUCUAUAGUAUUAUUAAAGACUCUUUGUUGGUUAAGAAAAAUUUAGGAUUUGAAGUAAGUUUAUUUUGAUGGUAAAGUUUAAGAAUUUCUAGUGAAUCAUAUUUGACUUUCUUAUAUAAUGUUAGGUACUUUGAUAAAUUAGUGUUAUGUUUUCAAUCUAGUGUGUAUGGUAUUUUUCUAAAAAUGAUAUUUGGUUGUUUUACCUUCGAUUA
Salvia miltiorrhiza (redroot sage) is the source of this 611-nucleotide long non-coding RNA. RefSeq lists it as uncharacterized. The record is from RefSeq and is a predicted model, not a curated record. NCBI's taxonomy places the organism in Eukaryota, Viridiplantae, Streptophyta, Magnoliopsida, Lamiales, Lamiaceae. The transcript is spliced from 3 exons.